This 253-nucleotide ribosomal RNA is filed under the name uncultured bacterium. Its description in RNAcentral is "partial 16S ribosomal RNA". It matches the Rfam family "Bacterial small subunit ribosomal RNA", at positions 524 to 776 of the family's 1533-position model. The record is from RNAcentral.
GACGGAGGAUGCAAGCGUUAUCCGGAAUGAUUGGGCGUAAAGCGUCCGCAGGUGGCAGUUCAAGUCUGCUGUCAAAGACCGGGGCUUAACUUCGGAAAGGCAGUGGAAACUGAACAGCUAGAGUAUGGUAGGGGCAGAGGGAAUUCCUGGUGUAGCGGUGAAAUGCGUAGAUAUCAGGAAGAACAUCGGUGGCGAAGGCGCUCUGCUGGACAAUAACUGACACUCAGGGACGAAAGCUAGGGGAGCGAAUGGG